Molecule: ribosomal RNA, 467 nt
Filed under: uncultured bacterium
Lineage: Bacteria
Description: partial 16S ribosomal RNA
Rfam family: Bacterial small subunit ribosomal RNA
Source: RNAcentral
ACGAACGCUGGCGGCGUGCUUAACACAUGCAAGUCGCACGGAAAGGCCCUGCUUUUGUGGGGUGCUCGAGUGGCGAACGGGUGAGUAACACGUGAGUAACCUGCCCUUGACUUUGGGAUAACUUCAGGAAACUGGGGCUAAUACCGGAUAGGAGCUCCUGCUGCAUGGUGGGGGUUGGAAAGUUUCGGCGGUUGGGGAUGGACUCGCGGCUUAUCAGCUUGUUGGUGGGGUAGUGGCUUACCAAGGCUUUGACGGGUAGCCGGCCUGAGAGGGUGACCGGCCACAUUGGGACUGAGAUACGGCCCAGACUCCUACGGGAGGCAGCAGUGGGGAAUAUUGCACAAUGGGCGGAAGCCUGAUGCAGCAACGCCGCGUGCGGGAUGACAGCCUUCGGGUUGUAAACCGCUUUCGCCUGUGACGAAGCGUGAGUGACGGUAAUGGGUAAAGAAGCACCGGCUAACUACGUG